UUCCUACGGGACGCAGCAGUAGGGAAUCUUCCACAAUGGACGAAAGUCUGAUGGAGCAACGCCGCGUGAGUGAAGAAGGGUUUCGGCUCGUAAAGCUCUGGUGGUAGUGAAGAAAGAUAGAGGUAGUAACUGGCCUUUAUUUGACGGUAAUUACUUAGAAAGUCACGGCUAACUACGUGCCAGCAGCCGCGGUAAUACGUAGGUGGCAAGAGUUGUGCGGAUUUAUUGGGCGUAAAGCGAGUGCAGGCGGGU
This 252-nucleotide ribosomal RNA is filed under the name uncultured bacterium. RNAcentral describes it as "partial 16S ribosomal RNA". It matches the Rfam family "Bacterial small subunit ribosomal RNA", at positions 336 to 580 of the family's 1533-position model. The record is from RNAcentral.